RNAcentral lists this ribosomal RNA (419 nucleotides) under uncultured bacterium. RNAcentral's name for it is "bacterial SSU rRNA". It matches the Rfam family "Bacterial small subunit ribosomal RNA", at positions 355 to 787 of the family's 1533-position model. The record is from RNAcentral.
UGGGGGAUAUUGCACAAUGGGGGAAACCCUGAUGCAGCGACGCCGCGUGAGUGAAGAAGUAUUUCGGUAUGUAAAGCUCUAUCAGCAGGGAAGAAGAUGACAGUACCUGACUAAGAAGCCCCGGCUAACUACGUGCCAGCAGCCGCGGUAAUACGUAGGGGGCAAGCGUUAUCCGGAUUUACUGGGUGUAAAGGGAGCGUAGACGGUUAUGUAAGUCUGGAGUGAAAGCCCGGGGCCCAACCCGGACUGCUUGGAAACUGUGUAACUAGAGUACAGGAGGGGCAGGCGGAAUUGCCUGGUGUAGCGGUGAAAUGCGUAGAUAUCAGGAGGAACACCGGCGGCGAAGGCGGCCUGCUGGACUGAAACUGAACGUUGUAGGCUGCGAAAAGCGUGGGGGAGCAAAACAGGAUUAGAUACCC